Molecule: ribosomal RNA, 254 nt
Filed under: uncultured bacterium
Lineage: Bacteria
Description: partial 16S ribosomal RNA
Rfam family: Bacterial small subunit ribosomal RNA
Source: RNAcentral
UACAGAGGGUGCAAGUGUUGUUCGGAAUUAUUGGGCGUAAAGGGUGCGUAGGCGGUAUGGUAAGUCGGGUGUGAAAGCCCUGGGCUUAACCCAGGAAUUGCAUUCGAAACUGCCAUGCUAGAGUGCGAAAGAGGAGAGCGGAAUUCCCGGUGUAGAGGUGAAAUUCGUAGAUAUCGGGAGGAACACCAGUGGCGUAAGCGGCUCUCUGGGUCGACACUGACGCUCAGUGCACGAAAGCGUGGGGAGCAAACAGG